GGGAGCGUUCUGUAAGCCUGUGAAGGUGUGUCGUGAGGCAUGCUGGAGGUAUCAGAAGUGCGAAUGCUGACAUAAGUAACGAUAAAGCGGGUGAAAAGCCCGCUCGCCGGAAGACCAAGGGUUCCUGUCCAACGUUAAUCGGGGCAGGGUGAGUCGACCCCUAAGGCGAGGCCGAAAGGCGUAGUCGAUGGGAAACGGGUUAAUAUUCCCGUACUUGGUGUUACUGCGAAGGGGGGACGGAGAAGGCUAUGUUGGCCGGGCGACGGUUGUCCCGGUUUAAGCGUGUAGGUGUGUGUUCCAGGUAAAUCCGGUUCACUUUAACACUGAGGCGUGACGACGAGGCACUACGGUGCUGAAGCAACAAAUGCCCUGCUUCCAGGAAAAGCCUCUAAGCAUCAGGUAACAUCAAAUCGUACCCCAAACCGACACAGGUGGUCAGGUAGAGAAUACCAAGGCGCUUGAGAGAACUCGGGUGAAGGAACUAGGCAAAAUGGUGCCGUAACUUCGGGAGAAGGCACGCUGACACGUAGGUGAAGUGAUUUACUCAUGGAGCUGAAGUCAGUCGAAGAUACCAGCUGGCUGCAACUGUUUAUUAAAAACACAGCACUGUGCAAACACGAAAGUGGACGUAUACGGUGUGACGCCUGCCCGGUGCCGGAAGGUUAAUUGAUGGGGUCAGCGCAAGCGAAGCUCCUGAUCGAAGCCCCGGUAAACGGCGGCCGUAACUAUAACGGUCCUAAGGUAGCGAAAUUCCUUGUCGGGUAAGUUCCGACCUGCACGAAUGGCGUAAUGAUGGCCAGGCUGUCUCCACCCGAGACUCAGUGAAAUUGAACUCGCUGUGAAGAUGCAGUGUACCCGCGGCAAGACGGAAAGACCCCGUGAACCUUUACUAUAGCUUGACACUGAACAUUGAGCCUUGAUGUGUAGGAUAGGUGGGAGGCUUUGAAGCGUGGACGCCAGUCUGCGUGGAGCCGACCUUGAAAUACCACCCUUUAAUGUUUGAUGUUCUAACGUGGACCCGUGAUCCGGGUUGCGGACAGUGUCUGGUGGGUAGUUUGACUGGGGCGGUCUCCUCCUAAAGAGUAACGGAGGAGCACGAAGGUUGGCUAAUCCUGGUCGGACAUCAGGAGGUUAGUGCAAUGGCAUAAGCCAGCUUGACUGCGAGCGUGACGGCGCGAGCAGGUGCGAAAGCAGGUCAUAGUGAUCCGGUGGUUCUGAAUGGAAGGGCCAUCGCUCAACGGAUAAAAGGUACUCCGGGGAUAACAGGCUGAUACCGCCCAAGAGUUCAUAUCGACGGCGGUGUUUGGCACCUCGAUGUCGGCUCAUCACAUCCUGGGGCUGAAGUAGGUCCCAAGGGUAUGGCUGUUCGCCAUUUAAAGUGGUACGCGAGCUGGGUUUAGAACGUCGUGAGACAGUUCGGUCCCUAUCUGCCGUGGGCGCUGGAGAACUGAGGGGGGCUGCUCCUAGUACGAGAGGACCGGAGUGGACGCAUCACUGGUGUUCGGGUUGUCAUGCC
Molecule: ribosomal RNA, 1516 nt
Filed under: Salmonella enterica
Lineage: Bacteria; Pseudomonadati; Pseudomonadota; Gammaproteobacteria; Enterobacterales; Enterobacteriaceae
Description: partial 23S ribosomal RNA
Rfam family: Bacterial large subunit ribosomal RNA
Source: RNAcentral